Molecule: ribosomal RNA, 377 nt
Filed under: uncultured Oxalobacteraceae bacterium
Lineage: Bacteria; Pseudomonadati; Pseudomonadota; Betaproteobacteria; Burkholderiales; Oxalobacteraceae
Description: bacterial SSU rRNA
Rfam family: Bacterial small subunit ribosomal RNA
Source: RNAcentral
UACGAGUAUGAGAGUUUGAUCCAGUGCUCAGAUUGAACGCUGGCGGCAUGCUUUACACAUGCAAGUCGAACGGAGCGCGGGGCAACCUGGCGGCGAGUGGCGAACGGGUGAGUAAUAUAUCGGAACGUACCCAAGAGUGGGGGAUAACGUAGCGAAAGUUACGCUAAUACCGCAUACGAUCUACGGAUGAAAGUGGGGGACCGCAAGGCCUCACGCUCCUGGAGCGGCCGAUAUCUGAUUAGCUAGUUGGUGAGGUAAAGGCUCACCAAGGCGACGAUCAGUAGCUGGUCUGAGAGGACGACCAGCCACACUGGAACUGAGACACGGUCCAGACUCCUACGGGAGGCAGCAGUGGGGAAUUUUGGACAAUGGGCGCA